Molecule: non-coding RNA, 714 nt
Organism: Styela clava
Lineage: Eukaryota; Metazoa; Chordata; Ascidiacea; Stolidobranchia; Styelidae
Source: RefSeq, a predicted model, not a curated record
ACGUUUGUAGGGGGCAGGCCGGCGAUAAUGAGGCUUUAAACUCGGCGAUAACCGAGCAGUAAUCUCGGCGCGCGGCUUCAUUAUCACCGAUCUGGUACCUUAUCUAAUCUCCGUGCAUGGAUAUCACUUCACUCAGGCCAUCAUGAAGAAUGUGCGUCACAAUAAUUUGGCUCGCCUAUACGACAAGGACGCUGGAACAAGAGACCUGAUCAAGCAUGCCAUGGCGCUGUGCUAUAUACCAGCUAUGUUUAUUACGUCCAUAUUCAAAUCACUGAACGAAAAGAUGCAAACUCAAGAUCUUCGCCGAAUAUUUUCAAAACACAUGGCUAUACAACAGUGUCUGGACUCCCAAUGAUUGGUCAGUAUUCGACGUAGAAAUAAGAACCAACAAUCAUCUGGAAGGUUGGCAACGCCAUUUUAACAAUAUAACUCGGAAAAAUAUGCCUUUUUACAGUUUAAUCUCAACAAUGUACGAGGUAAGUAUAGGGAUAGAGGCGGACGUUGUGGGGCGUGUCAACGGCAGGUAUGCGGAAGCCAACGAGAGGGUGCAACGUGUCUGGGAACAGAACAAGGAAAGAGAGUUAUCUGUGGACUCUCUUCUUCGAAAGUGUUCAAGGAUCUACGGGCCGCAGUAUUGCAAAGAGUAAGUAUGUAACGCAGCAAAUUUCCCAUAACGUUUAGUAUUCAAAUAAAAUUCAUUAUUCGUAACGAAAA